This 1954-nucleotide long non-coding RNA is filed under the name Citrus x clementina. Its description in RNAcentral is "Citrus clementina (C. clementina) long non-coding RNA (CCLE_LNC001379)". The record is from RNAcentral. Lineage: Eukaryota; Viridiplantae; Streptophyta; Magnoliopsida; Sapindales; Rutaceae.
AAAUAAUUAAAUAUUACCAUCCCUAGGCAGCCUACUAUUCAUAAACCAAAGAAGCCGGCGAGCCACAGUAAUCGUCGUCAUGAGUCUCGGCUCAACGUAAUGCUGCCGUGUAACGGCGGCGACUCACAGUGCAAUUCCGACUUUGUUUGACAAAUUGUGCGACGUUCUGUAAGAAAAAGUCAGCGGUGCACGAUAACUCGGCCGGCACUUGACGGAAAUUCCGGCAACAGUCGCCAGCGACUGAUACGUUUAUUUAUUUUACUAUCAAAAGUAAUAAAAAAAUAUACAUUCCAUUAAACUUACAAAGAAAGCUCAUAUUACCUUAAUUAGGAGAUAAACCCUCUCGUCCAGGUGAUUCCGAUUGUUGUCUUGACAAAUUAUAUGAAAUCCCAAGUCCGUUCUCGUCCCGCCUGGGCAUCCUCCCUAUAAAGAAACAUUAACAGUUUAUUAAACUUUAAAAUAAAGGGAAAAAAAAGAAACAAGAAGAAAAUUAUUACAAACCUGAAUUUUGAUGGCCGUGAACUUGUUCCAUUUAUUGACCGGACGAAUCUUCGGCGACACCUUGUCUUCCAACUUACGAUAUGAUUGGAAAAUUACAGUGACAUAAAUGUCAUACUGAGUACGUCGAUCGGGCCCCUUAGCACGCUUCUCCACUCUUUUUUGAAUGUGCUCGUCGAUUCUUGGUUUUCUUCUGGGAUCUUUUCUUGGUUUCCGAAUGUGCUCGUCGUUUCUUUAUUUUCCGAAUGUGCUCAUCGUUUCUUUGUCUCCGAAUGUGCUCGUCCUUUAGCACGCUUCUCCACUCUUUUCUGAUUGUGUUUCUGUAUUCUCGCCAUUGUAGUCACCAAGAGGUCACUGACGCAGGCUAUCUGUUGUGAUAUGUUGCGAAGGAGACGAUCAACACAGAGCAAAUGAAAGGGAGGGGUUUUCUUUCGUAGCAGAGGAGUGCCAGCGAGAGACUGUCACACUCGCUUUUACGGGCGACUGUCACACUCGCCUCUUUCUAAGCAAGAGGGCACGUGUCUUGCUUAGAAAAAAGCAAGUGCGGCUGUCGCUCUCCGCUAGCAGUCCUCUUACAAAUUAUUCAGUUUAAUUUUUUGUUUGUUUAUAUUAUAGGUUUAUGGAGAUUAUUAGAAUGUGCAUCAAUGGUGAUGGGUACAAGUUUAUGUUGAAGACUUAAAAUUAUUUUAAUUUGUCGUAUAAAAUUUGAUCAUUUGUAAUUAUAUCGAAAGUUUAGAAUUAUUAUAUUUUUAUUUAUGUGGAGGUUGUUAAAAUUUGAACACUUGUACUUUUAUUUCUAAUAUAGAAUUUGAUCAUUUGUAAUUUUAUUUCUAAAUAUGGAGGUUGUUAGAAUUAUUAUUAUUAUUUUAUUUGAUCAUUUGUAAUUUUAUUUCUAAUAUGGAGGUUGUUAGAAUUAUUAUUAUUAUUUUUUAAAAAAUAGAGGAAAGUGAAAUAUUUAGAAAUUAUUAUUUAAAAAAUAGGGAUCGGGUCCCCGCUUUAAUCCCCGCUCAAUUCGGGGACUUUCGGGGAUAUACCCAAACUAUCCCCCAUUACAAUUUUUCGGGUAUGGGGCAAAUUCGGGGGAAAGCUUCUAAAUUGGGUUCGGGUUCGGGGAUUAUGAUCCCCGCCCCAUUGACAUCCCUACCUCUUUGUAGAAUAAUAUUUGACAUUUUCUCCUAGUGAUUCCGAGUAAAAGUGUAUGGCAAAGCUUAUCUUACAUCGGCGGUACAUUACAGAUAUAAAUUUUUGAAUCAUCAGAAAAGUUAAUAAUUAUAACAAAGUCAAUAAGUUUUAAAGUUUUAUUUUAAACCCCAAGCUACACUGCAAGUACUUCAUUUUUUUUUUAAGUUUUUCAUUUAUAUUUAUAGCAAAUUCAGCACCAAGUUUGUAUUUUAUCUAAUUGAAUCUCUAAUUUGUUUAAUCUUAUAUUUAUUGAGUUUUUAUUCAUUAUAUUAAU